Molecule: ribosomal RNA, 398 nt
Filed under: uncultured bacterium
Lineage: Bacteria
Description: bacterial SSU rRNA
Rfam family: Bacterial small subunit ribosomal RNA
Source: RNAcentral
AUUGAACGCUGGCGGCAUGCCUUACACAUGCAAGUCGAACGGCAGCACGGGGGCAACCCUGGUGGCGAGUGGCGAACGGGUGAGUAAUGCAUCGGAACGUGUCCUCUUGUGGGGGAUAACCAGUCGAAAGACUGGCUAAUACCGCAUGAGAUCGCAAGAUGAAAGCAGGGGACUCCGAGGGUAACUUCGGGGCCUUGCGCGAGAGGAGCGGCCGAUGCCCGAUUAGCUAGUUGGUGGGGUAAAGCCUACCAAGGCGACGAUCGGUAGCUGGUCUGAGAGGACGACCAGCCACACUGGGACUGAGACACGGCCCAGACUCCUACGGGAGGCAGCAGUGGGGAAUUUUGGACAAUGGGGCAACCCUGAUCCAGCCAUGCCGCGUGUGUGAUGAAGGCCUU